UCAGGGGCUUCGGGAAGCAAGGCUACCAAUGUCAAAUUUGUAGCUUCGUCGUCCACAAAAGAUGUCACGUGUUCGUGAACUUUAAGUGUCCGGGAGCAGAUAAGGGAGUGGACACCGAUGAUAUUCGAACGAAACAUCAUUUUCUGGUGCACACCUACACAAGUCCAACAUUUUGUGACCACUGUGGUUCCUUGCUGUACGGGAUAAUCCAUCAAGGACUUAAUUGUAAAG
This is a long non-coding RNA of Limulus polyphemus (Atlantic horseshoe crab), 231 nucleotides long. RefSeq lists it as uncharacterized. The transcript has 3 exons. Lineage: Eukaryota; Metazoa; Arthropoda; Merostomata; Xiphosura; Limulidae. The record is from RefSeq and is a predicted model, not a curated record.